This 1009-nucleotide long non-coding RNA is filed under the name Vulpes vulpes (red fox). Its description in RNAcentral is "lncRNA (ENSVVUG00000029251.1)". The record is from RNAcentral. Lineage: Eukaryota; Metazoa; Chordata; Mammalia; Carnivora; Canidae.
AGGCCCGAACCCGGUACCACGAGCCUGGCGGCCGGAGCGAGGUAUUCCCCGGGGGCCACCAGCACGUGCCAGCGCCUCUCCGGGGAUCCUGCGGCAGAGGCGGCGUGGGGAGCGGGCUCUGCGGGGCCUGCGGAACACCCGGGCAGCGCGGCCCUCGGGGGAGCCCCUGCGGAAAGCACAAUCCGGGGAAGACCCCAGUUCACCCCCACUCCUAGGCAGAAGCUCACACCCGCCAAUCUCUGCCCUGAAGCUGAAAGCAAACUUCCAGCGGACGUCACUCAACCGCUCGAAAAUCCGAGCCCGCUCAGCUCCGUUCUUAAACGACCGCCGGGGCCUCGAGCCGCCUCCGACGCUUCCCCCGGCAGGCCCCACUUGGCCGCCCGCCGCCGGGAUGCCCGGCCCGCCGCACCGGAAGCGGCCGCGGCUGCGCCCCACGACGCCCCGCCCCCAGCGAGCGUGGCGGAAGCGCCUCGCUCGGGGAAGGAGACCACGGCCGCCUGGCCGAGCGCGCAUGCGCUAGCGCCGCGCCCGCGCAGCUGGCGGUGGGGGCGUCUGCCGCGCUCGCUCCUCGUGUCCGCAGCCCCCGCCCCCGCCCCCGCCCCGCGGAGAGUCGGGCUCACGCCAUCUUGUGCCCCCUCCCCCCCAAAACCCCUGCCCGGGGCUGAGCCACUUUCUGCUUUUCGACACUCUCAGCCCUCCACCCCGCCCCCUUUCGUAGCGUGUCCCGGGCGCCGCCGCAGAAACCGCAGCAUCUCUCCCCACACUGUCCACGCGGGACGCGCAGCCGUGCCUACAGUGUUAGAGCGGAGAUGAAUAAUACUGCAGCCAGCCCAAUGUCUACUGCUACUUCAAGUAGUGGAAGAAGUACAGGGAAGUCCAUAAGCUUUGCAGCAGAGUUACAGAGUAUGAUGUAAGUAUGUCUCUGCAUCACAGAUUACUGUUUUGAUUUACGUUGAUAAGAGAUAAUAGAAACAAUAAAAUUUCUAAAACUUGGAAAUGUGGACUUAAU